Molecule: ribosomal RNA, 253 nt
Filed under: uncultured bacterium
Lineage: Bacteria
Description: partial 16S ribosomal RNA
Rfam family: Bacterial small subunit ribosomal RNA
Source: RNAcentral
UACGGAGGGUGCAAACGUUGCUCGGAAUCAUUGGGCGUAAAGCGCACGUAGGCGGCGAAGCAAGUCGGGUGUGAAAGCCCUGGGCUCAACCCAGGAAGUGCAUUCGAAACUAUUUCGCUUGAAUCUCGGAGGGGGUCAGAGAAUUCCCGGUGUAGAGGUGAAAUUCGUAGAUAUCGGGAGGAAUACCAGUGGCGAAGGCGCUGACCUGGACGAAGAUUGACGCUGAGGUGCGAAAGUGCGGGGAGCAAACAGG